Molecule: long non-coding RNA, 1010 nt
Organism: Magallana angulata
Lineage: Eukaryota; Metazoa; Mollusca; Bivalvia; Ostreida; Ostreidae
Exons: 5
Source: RefSeq, a predicted model, not a curated record
GUUAUAAGACAUUUUCUGCUUUGUAAAGACGCUUACCACCAGUAGCUAUCAAAAGGCAAACGGAGACUUAAUCGUCUGCAAUGCAACGUUCUGUAUAAACAGCCUUUCUCCUGUACGAAAGAUUAAAAAAAUUCAGAAAUGCAGCAGGUACGUAAGAAUUGGACGCGGUAGGUAUUGUGCUGUGUUAUUGGUUUUGGUUGCAGUGUGUGUAUGUGCAUCAAUUCAUGUCCUAACCAAUUAUUUUCUCAAAAAGAAUAAACACAGGUAAGGUAAGUUGGUUGCUUGCCUUUAUAUAUGACGUUAAUAAUGUUAAUGAAAAUAUGUUGGUGUUUUUGGAAAUGGUACGCUGUUCCUCCUUUUUCCUCCUUUUAUAACCAUGUCAGCUGUUCAACCCUGAAGCAAUGAUACGUAUCCUUUUUAGAUAGUUUUCUUAUAGAAUCAUUUUAAAUGUAAAUCAAAGCACACACUCCCAAACCUACAACUAGUCUCCCAACGUCUUCUGGCACGGAGACUACAGUCGAAACAUCUUCCGUACCACCCAAUACAGAACCAACUGUCACUAGUAUUGUGACGUCAAUUGAGGUAAAUCAAACGGAGACCACACCUGAGCCAGUAAACGCCACCACCACAGGACCAUCUACAGCAGACUGUCAAAAUAAUCCAAAUAUUGAUUGUCGAAUGUACAAUUUGGAAGUAACUUGUGACAUCAAUGGAAAGUACUACCCCUGGGCCAAAACCAACUGUCCGUUAUAUUGCGGAUAUUGCCAAGUUCCAACAAUGGCAAUAAAAUGCGAAGAUAAGUUACCCAACUGUGACGAAUACCUGGAUGUCUGUUCCAAACAUUUGUAUCUGUUGUUCAGAGAGGAAAACUGUCGAAAGUUCUGUGGAAUAUGUAAUGAUGUUGAUUAUGUGUACGCACCAUCAGCGUUUGGAUAAAGAGAUUAAUAAAAUGGAUUAAUAGAUAGUCAUUUUAAAAAAAACCCCAAUAUUCAAUAAAGAAAUUAAAUAUG